This 563-nucleotide long non-coding RNA is filed under the name Danio rerio (zebrafish). RNAcentral describes it as "lncRNA si:dkeyp-9a1.3 (ENSDARG00000097833.2)". Lineage: Eukaryota; Metazoa; Chordata; Actinopteri; Cypriniformes; Danionidae. The record is from RNAcentral.
GAACAUGGGAGCAAGUAAAGGUAAAAUACAAGAACAUUCUACAAAAUGCUACUAGGAAAAGGUGUGAACAAAAAAAACGGGUGGUGGUCCUGCACCUCCACCUCAUACCCCGGCAGAAGAGCUUGCCCUUGGUUUUAAUGCAAACAGGCCAAUUGUUCAGGGCAUACCAGGGGGCAGCUCUUCCCUAGAGCCACAGCCAGGGACCAGUAAGGGCACCACAGUCAUCACUGUUUCUAAUGAUACACCUACACUUAUAUCAAUUCCAUUUGAAGUUGUGGCAUAAGUGAACAGUGAGGAGACUCUUUCAGAUGAGUGUUUUGAGGAGUUGACAGAGUCCAUGCCUUCUAAGAGGCCUUUUGACCGGCACAGUGAUAAAGAGGGUGACAUUCGUUCUCUAUAUAAGAGGAGCCUCCAACAUAAAGUGGAGUAUUUAGAGCUUAAAAAACAAAAACUACAAGGAGAAAUCGAGCUGCAGCAACUAAUGAAAACAAAAAUGGAGCUAGAAAUACAAUUGUUGCAAAAAGAACUUCAGAGUAAGCAAAAGAUGACGUGUGUGUGUGUGU